This 482-nucleotide ribosomal RNA is filed under the name uncultured bacterium. RNAcentral's name for it is "partial 16S ribosomal RNA". It matches the Rfam family "Bacterial small subunit ribosomal RNA", at positions 30 to 507 of the family's 1533-position model. The record is from RNAcentral.
AUUGAACGCUGGCGGCAUGCCUUACACAUGCAAAUCGAACGGUAACGGGCCUUCGGGUGCCGACGAGUGGCGAACGGGCGAGUAAUACAUCGGAACGUGCCCGAUCGUGGGGGAUAACGAGGCGAAAGCUUUGCUAAUACCGCAUACGAUCUACGGAUGAAAGCAGGGGACCGCAAGGCCUUGCGCGGACGGGGCGGCCGAUGGCCGAUUAGGUAGUUGGUGGGAUAAACGCUUACCAAGCCGACGAUCUGUAGCUGGUCUGAGAGGAUGAUCAGCCACACUGGGACUGAGACACGGCCCAGACUCCUACGGGAGGCAGCAGUGGGGAAUUUUGGACAAUGGGCGCAAGCCUGAUCCAGCCAUGCCGCGUGCAGGAUGAAGGCCUUCGGGUUGUAAACUGAUUUUGUACGGAACGAAAAGCCUUCUUUUAAUACAGGAGGGUCAUGACGGUACCGUAAGAAUAAGCACCGGCUAACUACGUG